This 440-nucleotide ribosomal RNA is filed under the name uncultured bacterium. RNAcentral describes it as "bacterial SSU rRNA". It matches the Rfam family "Bacterial small subunit ribosomal RNA", at positions 954 to 1392 of the family's 1533-position model. The record is from RNAcentral.
GCAGAACGCGAAGAACCUUACCAAGGCUUGACAUCCCCUUGACCGGCACAGAGAUGUGCCCUCUCCUUCGGGAGCAAGGGUGACAGGUGGUGCAUGGUUGUCGUCAGCUCGUGUCGUGAGAUGUUGGGUUAAGUCCCGCAACGAGCGCAACCCUUAUCCUUAGUUGCCAGCAUUUAGGGUGGGCACUCUAAGGAGACUGCCGAUGAUAAAUCGGAGGAAGGUGGGGAUGACGUCAAAUCAUCAUGCCCCUUAUGUCUUGGGCUACACACGUGCUACAAUGGUCGGUACAAAGGGCAGCGAAGGAGUGAUCCGGAGCAAAUCCCAAUAAACCGAUCUCAGUUCGGAUUGUAGGCUGCAACUCGCCUACAUGAAGUCGGAGUUGCUAGUAAUCGCGAAUCAGAACGUCGCGGUGAAUGCGUUCCCGGGUCUUGUACACACCG